This 253-nucleotide ribosomal RNA is filed under the name uncultured prokaryote. RNAcentral's name for it is "partial 16S ribosomal RNA". It matches the Rfam family "Bacterial small subunit ribosomal RNA", at positions 524 to 776 of the family's 1533-position model. The record is from RNAcentral.
GACAGAGGGUGCAAACGUUGUUCGGAAUUACUGGGCGUAAGGCGCGUGUAGGCUGCUUGGAAAGUCGGGUGUGAAAGCCCCGGGCUCAACCCGGGAAGUGCACUCGAAACUUCCGAGCUUGAGUUCUGGAGAGGGUGGCGGAAUUCUCGGUGUAGAGGUGAAAUUCGUAGAUAUCGAGAGGAACACCGGUGGCGAAGGCGGCUACCUGGACAGUGACUGACGCUGAGACGCGAAAGCGUGGGGAGCAAACAGG